RNAcentral lists this long non-coding RNA (809 nucleotides) under Astyanax mexicanus (Mexican tetra). RNAcentral describes it as "lncRNA (ENSAMXG00005011186.1)". The record is from RNAcentral. Lineage: Eukaryota; Metazoa; Chordata; Actinopteri; Characiformes; Acestrorhamphidae.
UCCUCCAAUAGAACAGAACAGAAGUCUGGAUUCACUCGGGUGUCGGCAGUGUUCAGCUGUGUGGGAAUGAAGAAGAGUAAAUGAUGGAUCUUCAGAACUCCAGCAGUGGAGGAAGACCUCCUCUCCUAAAGGAGAAGAGAGCAGCAUCUCCAGCCCCCAGUGGAGUGUCUAUGAAGAGUGAUUGGUCCAUGGAGGAACCUCUAAAGUUCAGCAGUGGAGGAGGAAGCUCUGGGUCUCGGUACAUCACUGCACUAAACUACUGUUCUGUUCUGAGAGUGAAGCUCUUCAGUUCCUGAUCUUUAUUAAAGAUGUGCUGUGUGUUGGAGUUCACUGUGUAAAUGCUGAAGUUUCACUGUGUUUAAUGUUAACAGAACUGAAACCCAGAGAGGAGCUUCUCCAGAGCCCAGCUGUGUGUCUAUGAAGAGUGACUGGUCCAUGGGGUAUCCUCCUACUUUAAGCAGUGAAGAUGUGACCUCUGACCCACAGUGAGUAAACAUCAAAGAUUAAUUACUGAAUAUUAUAGUAAUAUACCUUGUUAGUGCAUAUAACACACACACACAGAGGAGGUCGGUGUGAGAUUGUGAGUUUCUCUAUAUGUAAUGAUCAGUGUACACAGGUAUGUGUGAUGGGAUGGCAGGAUUUAGAUUAGACUGACUGACCUGAACAAGUAAAUUACAAUAUCAGCUACAGGUUGGAGAAUUACACAUACAUCUAUAUUAAGAGUGUGCGAUACUGAUAAAAAGAAAACAAUAUCUUGAUAAUUUCUGUAAUUUUGUCAGUAACGAUAAUAAACAAUAUUUUGUAUAACA